AAGAAGAAGAAGAAGAAGAAGAAGAAGAAGAAGAAGAAGAAGAAGAAAAGUAUUUUAUGCAGUGUACAGAGGGCACAGUUGAUUGAUUGGAAAAUACUUUCUCUGUCUAUUCUACUCUAGUGCCUCCCCUUUCAGAGCCACAUGGUUCAGAAUGUUUCCCAUAUGGCCUAGUUAAUCACAGCUGAGGACUUGGAACAUGCACUCAAAGUUAGUGAACUUAGUAACUGACAGAACAAAAGGUCUCUCUGAAAGGUCAUUUCAAACAUCUAAAUCACUGCCUUCCUGCCUUCAUAAUAGGGAGGAUCACAGCUUACUCAUUUGGAAAUUGAACCAGAAAUAGCUUUGUUUACAAGGCCAGACUUGCACAUUCCUUACCUUAGCUAUUUUGGAGGAUAUCUUGAUCUGGACCUGCUCGUCAUUAGAUUCCAGCCCUUCCUGCAAGCCUUGCAGUCUGUCCACCUCCAGGCAAAUGCCUAUAGUUAGCAAAGGGAGAAAGAGGCUUUUAAAACACAACAGAGUUGAAAAGUCUUGCUGUGUUCUAAUGAGACAGUAAUUCAGCUGUUGGAUGCUUUUUUUUCCCUCUAAACAUCUAGAAGGUCACAUGAUGAAGGGGUGACCACAAAAGCAGUUUCUACAGGUAGCUCCAUGCAAUGAUCUCAUAUUCUACGCAUAGAAGUCAUCUGAGGUGUGUUCUUUGCUCCUGUUUCUAUUUUUGCAGGAGAAGAAGCUAUGGCAGCACAGCAUGAAGCCAUUUGCCUGAGGUCACACAGAAAGGGCUGUGUGAAUUUGAACCUGUGUCUGUCUGACAAAAAUGCCAGGGGCUUCUUCUUCUUCUUCUUGAAGUUUCAUUCUGUGAAUCAUCAGAGAGGAAGGAGCUUCAGUUGAGGAAAUUCCUCCAUGAGAUACAGCUAUAAAGUGUUUUCUCAAUUAAUGAUCAAUUGGGGAGGAUCCAGCCCUUUGUUGGUGGUGCUAUCCCUGGGCUGGUGGUCCUGGAUUCUAAAAGAAAGCAGGAUGAGCUAGCCAGGGGAAGCCAGUAAGCAGCACCCCUCCAUGGCCUCUGCAUCAGCUCCUGCCUCCAGGAUUCUGCCCUGUUUGAGUUCCUGUCCUGACUUCCUUCAACGGUGGACAGUGAUGAAGGGCCAUGGAGGACUCCGGUGAGCAAGCAUGCAAAGUGGCCACAGUGAUUGCUCAGCUCUGGAGUUGGGAGAUUUACCCAUGGCUUUGCCAUACUCCUCCAUCUGGGACCUGAGACGAACCAGGCGAGAGUCUCAAGUGUUCCCACAAUUGACUAAGGAUGUAAUCUCUGCUUAAGGGAGUACUUGCCUCGAUGUCAUUCGUUAGGAUCUUCGAGUUCUGUGCAUCCGUGUCAUCCCAGAUCAUGGACCUCAGAAGUUUCCCCAGUGCAUCCAUUGAUCGUUCGUGGAGAAACUGAAAUCAAGCGUGACUGUUAGUCUCAGGCUGUCGUGAAAGCAGCCCCCGGGGAACUUUCCUCUCUUCUCAGUCCCUGGUCACAUACCUCAAUGCGCUCCUUGUCCUUGUCCGUUUCACCCCCACUUUUGAGUUUUUCCAGAGGUGGAAGGGGCAGCAACCUCCGAAUGUUCUCUUCAAGAAUGUUCAGGUGGUCGUUUAGUGAGAGCUGAGGUUUCAGUUUGCUGAGAUGAGACCCACAUGGAGGAAAGGAUACAAUUAAACCUGCCAUUAUCCUACUGGGAAAUGCUCAAGAUCUGUCCAUAAAAUCUGAGCAGGUGACAAAUAUGUGACACUUUCUGAAAUAUUUGAAAUAUUGAGAGAGGUGGUGGUAACAGGACAGAUUGGGAAGAUGUUAAGGACCAUUGAAACACUUGUAUUUGUUAGAGUCACGAUUGGUGUUGAUAAAUUCUUUUUUUUUUUUUUUUGGUGUUGAUAAAUUCUUAUUGUUAGCAUUUCCUGUAAAAAAGCAAAGUUGGUAAGGGAUGGGGCAAUUUGUCUCUCUGGCUUUCUUCCCUCUCUCCCUCCCUCCCUCCCUCCUAAACAUUUGCUAUAUAGUUAUCAGAACAAUAACUGACAUGACUUGGGAAAAUGCAAAUGUUAGGUAAAUAUGAAAAGGGUAUUCUUUAAAAUUUGUAUAAAUGUAAAUCAAGACAAUAGGUACAUUUCAGAGCUUCUGUAGUAGGAAAAAAAUAAAAAUGGAGAAUGUGAAAAAGGUACUCAGAGAGGAGUGUGAAUCAGUGCUGAGCUGGGAAGAUUGUUUACCAUCUUCUCAUUGUCGUUGUCUGAUGCUUUUCUUAAUAAAACAGGUGUACUGAUAUAAAAGUGCUGCACAAUACACUGCAUCUAUUCAAGGUCCCCACUUUAACAAAUUUGGACAUGGAGGCAUAAGUGAAAACGACACCAUCAUUGACACAUAACAUUGCUAGCAUCCCUUGAUUUUGUUUCUGUCAAUUUGUGGGCUAUCUUUUUCUCCACAUUGGCCCCACACAAUCAACACAUUUUUGUGUGUGUGAUUAGUGAUUAGUCUAGUUCUGCUCAAACUGAGUAUAGCCAGUAGCCACAUAUGGCCAUUCGAGUUAAUUAAUAUGAAUUAAGAUGUCAUGUGUGACAUAUUCUGCAUUUUGAAAAUUUUGAAUGAAUGAUAAUGUAGUUUGAAAAAUAUUGAACACAGGAUGAAAUGAUAAUAUACUGGAUAUAUUGAGUAAAAUGAAACAAAACAUGCUACUAAGAAAGAAUUUGAUAAUUUUAGUGCUGGGGGGAAGGGUUUUAUGCAUUCAGGUCAAGUACUAUAUUGUACUCAGCUGUUACUGAUUGUAGAAACUUGUUACAAUGUCACAGUAAUCAAAAUUGUGCAGUAUAAGUAUAUGGCUAGACUCAUGGACCUGUGGAGUAGAACACACAGAGCCCAGAAAUAAACCCUCAAAUAAGUAUGAUUGACUUUUGAUUUGGAUGCACACGUUUACUGUGUGCAUUUAAAAGUAUGAAACAUGGGAUAUAUAUAUAUAUAUGAAAACAUUUUCAUAUAUAUAUAUGAAAACGAUGUAAUAGGUAACUUAUAUAAUAGGUUAUAUAACCUCCCCACACUGUAGUAAGAUCAUCUAUAAUUUAUUCAUGGAGCUGAAAUCUUGAAUUAGCAUGCCAUUUGGAUCACAGCUGUUAGUGGGGCACAUUAUCUUCAGACUUAUUGUACAGAUAUCUGUAUUCUGUAUUCUUUGAUCAUCAUUGUUUUAUUUCCCUUAGCCUUGCCUUUAGUACCCAUUGUUUUAUUUUCUUUCUCUCUCUUUGUCUUUGAAUUUUUUCCUUAGAUUUACCAUAUAAUAGAGACCCAAUAGUACUUUUUCUUUCCAUGUCUGGUUUAUUUUAUUUGACAUAAUGUCCUCUAGAUGAACCCAUGUUGUGACAAAGAACAAGAUAUUUUAAUUUUUAAGCUGGAUAAUAUUCUAUUGUGUCUAUAUUUCCCACAGUCUUGUAAACACUUGUCUGUUGAUGGAUAGCUAGGUUGCUUUUCUACCAUGGCUUUCAGGAAAGACCCUGAGAUGAACACUGGAGUUACUUUUCAAGGCAGUGAUCUCAUUUUCCUUGGGUAUCUACCCACAAGAGGGACUAAAGGGUUAUGUGAUAAUUCUGCUUUCAAUUUCUGUUGAAACUUCCAUAAUGUUUUCUCCAAUGCACCAAUAUCCAUGCCAACAACCACACUACAGGAUUCUCUUUUUCUCCCAUCCCCAGCAACACUUACUUCUUUUUAGGUAAUAUAGAUCUUAAUGGGUGCAAAGUGAUACAGUAUUUUUGAUUUUCAUGUCCUUGAUUAGGAGUGAUCAUGAGUAUUUUAUACACAAUUGUUAAACACAGAAAUAAAUAAAAAUGAAAAAAAUGUCAUUUGUGAAAUAUGGGAAUUCACAAGAUGAAGUGAAAAAAAAAAUCAGUGUGAAAGGUCAUAUGGGAACAGGAUCUCAGGUCUGUGAAGAAAUUGAGGACCAGAGAUAAGGACAUAAAAAUGUUGUCAAAUAUGACAAUAGGGGCAUCUUGGGUGAGUUUUGUUAUUUUAACUUUACUUUUCAAAUUUUAACAGUAAAUAGUAUAAUUCUUUAACUGCACUGGAGACUAUAACUCUUAAAAACAUGAACAAAUUUAUUUUCUUUGUUGGGUUUAUCAUGGCUAGCUAACUAAAGCUGGAAUGUGAUGAGAUAUUUCAUAAGUUUUUAAUUUGAGGAUUAAAAUUUGUCUGUAGGCUAAGAUCUUGGAUGAGAAACUUCGUUUUGUGUAGAAAUUUGAGUCUCUUAUCUAUUAAUUAAUAUGACUCCUCUGAGUAGCUGUUUGACCCUGACAGUUAUCAAAUGACCAAUGUCUUAGCCAAUUCGGUAACUCUCAAGGAGAGAAAGCUGUUAUUUGUGAGCCCCACUAAAUAAAUGUGGUUAUUUUGGGGAGGAUAUACUGGAGUCUUCACUGACAGAUAAGUCAGUUGAUAGCCAGGAGGAGGCUGAAAGGGAGAAAAUAAGAUUAAGAAAGAUUUCGGGUGGAGUGGGUGGCUCACAAGCAUGAGAUUCUGAGUUUGCAUCCCUAGAACCCGAAGGAUGGACUCAAGAACCUACAUAUAAAAGCUGCAGCGGUGCUG
This is a non-coding RNA of Cricetulus griseus (Chinese hamster), 4582 nucleotides long. NCBI's taxonomy places the organism in Eukaryota, Metazoa, Chordata, Mammalia, Rodentia, Cricetidae. The record is from RefSeq and is a predicted model, not a curated record.